Molecule: ribosomal RNA, 449 nt
Filed under: uncultured bacterium
Lineage: Bacteria
Description: bacterial SSU rRNA
Rfam family: Bacterial small subunit ribosomal RNA
Source: RNAcentral
GUCCAGACUCCUACGGGAGGCAGCAGUGGGGAAUAUUGCACAAUGGGGGAAACCCUGAUGCAGCGACGCCGCGUGAGUGAAGAAGUAUUUCGGUAUGUAAAGCUCUAUCAGCAGGGAAGAAGAAGGACGGUACCUGAGUAAGAAGCCCCGGCUAACUACGUGCCAGCAGCCGCGGUAAUACGUAGGGGGCAAGCGUUAUCCGGAUUCACUGGGUGUAAAGGGAGCGUAGACGGCGACGCAAGUCUGGAGUGAAAGCCCGGGGCCCAACCCCGGGACUGCUCUGGAAACUGCGUCGCUGGAGUACGGGAGGGGCAGGCGGAAUUCCUGGUGUAGCGGUGAAAUGCGUAGAUAUCAGGAGGAACACCGGCGGCGAAGGCGGCCUGCUGGACCGUGACUGACGUUGAGGCUCGAGAGCGUGGGGAGCAAACAGGAUUAGAUACCCUGGUAGC